This 407-nucleotide ribosomal RNA is filed under the name uncultured bacterium. Its description in RNAcentral is "partial 16S ribosomal RNA". It matches the Rfam family "Bacterial small subunit ribosomal RNA", at positions 28 to 526 of the family's 1533-position model. The record is from RNAcentral.
GACGAACGCUGGCGGCGUGCUUAAUACCUGCAAGUAUGACGCAGUUGCGAACGGGUGAGUAACGCGUAGGUAACUACCUAUUAGAGGGGGAUAAUUAUUGGAAACGAUAGAUAAUACCGCAUACUAGUAGAUGGACCUGCGUUGUAUUAGCUAGUAGGUAGGGUAAUGGACUACCUAGGCAACGAUACAUAGCCGACCUGAAAGGGUGAUCGGCCACACUGGGACGAAGACACGGGCCAGACUCUGACGGGAGGCAGCAGUAGGGAAUCGUCGGCAAUGGGGGGAACGCUGACAGGCAAACGCGGCGUGAGUAAAGAAGGUGAUCGGACAGUAAAACUCUGUUAUUAGGGAAGCGGUACCUAAUCAGAAAGCAACGGCUAACUACGUGCCAGCCGCCGCGGUAAUAC